RNAcentral lists this long non-coding RNA (587 nucleotides) under Phaseolus vulgaris (common bean). Its description in RNAcentral is "long non-coding RNA (PVUL_LNC003441)". The record is from RNAcentral. Lineage: Eukaryota; Viridiplantae; Streptophyta; Magnoliopsida; Fabales; Fabaceae.
UUAAAUUGGUUUUCUUCAAAAGUUAUGAUUCUACCUUGAUGGCUAGGUGAACCAAUUUUUGCAAAGAAGAGUACUCAUAUAAUUCCACAAUAUCUUGGAUUCAUCUCCUUAAACCACUCCCAAACCUAGCUAUCUUUGACUCCUCACUAUCAUGCAUAUUAAUUUUGGUCAAAGUGGUUUCUAAGUCUUUAAAAUAUUCAUGUACACUCCUAGGUCCUUGUUGAAGCCGUUGGAUAUUCAAGAAGAGUUUCUUCCUAUAAUGAGGAGGAACAAACCACGCACACAUGCAUUCUUUUAAAUCAUACCAAAAGACCACGACCGACCUCUUGUUCAAACCAAUGUCCAUUACAGUUUGAUGUCACCACUGCAUGGCAUAAUCUAAAAACUCUAGGAAAGCUAACUUAACAUUUUGGUCCUCUUGGACCUCAUACACAUUGAAAAUUUGUUCUACUUUAACUUCUCAUCCUAAAUAUACAUUGGGAUCACUUUCCACAUUAGCUUCUCUUCACAGGCCAUUAUGAAGUUCUCUCUCAAAAACUCUUCACUCUCUCCUGCAAAAGUAGUAGCCACAGCACCACACUCCCGCG